AUUGAACGCUGGCGGCAGGCCUAACACAUGCAAGUCGAACGGUAACAGGAAGCAGCUUGCUGCUUCGCUGACGAGUGGCGGACGGGUGAGUAAUGUCUGGGAAACUGCCUGAUGGAGGGGGAUAACUACUGGAAACGGUAGCUAAUACCGCAUAACGUCGCAAGACCAAAGAGGGGGACCUUAGGGCCUCUUGCCAUCGGAUGUGCCCAGAUGGGAUUAGCUAGUAGGUGGGGUAACGGCUCACCUAGGCGACGAUCCCUAGCUGGUCUGAGAGGAUGACCAGCCACACUGGAACUGAGACACGGUCAAGACUCCUACGGGAGGCAGCAGUGGGGAAUAUUGCACAAUGGGCGCAAGGCUGAUGCAGCCAUGCCGCGUGUAUGAAGAAGGCCUUCGGGUUGUAAAGUACUUUCAGCGGGGAGGAAGGGAGUAAAGUUAAUACCUUUGCUCAUUGACGUUACCCGCAGAAGAAGCACCGGCUAACUCCGUG
This 490-nucleotide ribosomal RNA is filed under the name uncultured bacterium. RNAcentral describes it as "partial 16S ribosomal RNA". It matches the Rfam family "Bacterial small subunit ribosomal RNA", at positions 30 to 507 of the family's 1533-position model. The record is from RNAcentral.